CAAAAGUUUAUGCUCUAAGGAAAGCAGAAACCAAGGCUUGCAGAGAUCACAGUGAGAUUUUAUCAGGACCGGGCCUCAGGGAAAAGCUUCCUGAUACUUGAGACUCAUAAAAAGAGUCACCCCACCAUCGGCAGUCGAGUUCUUAUUGGCUUGCUAGAAAAUGGAAUACAGAUGAGUCUGCAGGGUCAGACACAGCUAAAUUGGAACAUGAGAAGAUGAACAACCACGUAUUGAAGAUUACAGAGUGACUAG
RNAcentral lists this long non-coding RNA (252 nucleotides) under Equus asinus (donkey). RNAcentral describes it as "lncRNA (ENSEASG00005035412.1)". Lineage: Eukaryota; Metazoa; Chordata; Mammalia; Perissodactyla; Equidae. The record is from RNAcentral.